GCUGGGUGUGGUGGCGCAUGCCUGUAAUCCUAGCAGCUCAGGAGGCUGAGACAGGAGGAUUACGAGUUCAAAGCCAACCUCCACAAAAAGUGAGGCACUUAGCAACAGGGUCAGUGAGACCCUGUCUCUA
RNAcentral lists this small RNA (130 nucleotides) under Marmota monax (woodchuck). The record is from RNAcentral. Lineage: Eukaryota; Metazoa; Chordata; Mammalia; Rodentia; Sciuridae.